UUAUGGGGUCUUCGCUGCGAGAUCACAUUCAUCCGGUACUAUACCAGCUGCACUGGCUCCCGGUGGAGUACAGGAUCAGGUUUAAGGUGCUGGUUUUAACCUUUAAAGCCCUAUACGGCCUAGGACCCUCGUACCUACGGGACCGCCUCUCCUGGUAUGCCCCACAGAGGAACCUACGGUCUGCAAAUAAAAACAUCCUGAAGGUCCCAGGCCUCAGAGAGGUUAGGCUGGCCUCAACUAGAGCCAGGGCUUUCUCGGCUGCGGCUCCAAUCUGGUGGAACGCUCUGUCACAAGAGACUAGGGCCCUGCGGGACCUGACAUCUUUCCGCAAGGCCUGCAAGACAGAGUUGUUCCACCAGGCCUUUGGUCAGGGCCCAGCCUGACUCCUCCUCUGGCAACCUGCACAGAACUUUGCUUAACGGUUGCCAUUAAUUUGAUUUUAAUUAAUUUUUAUAAUGAAAUGUUUUAGAAUGUUGGAUUAUUUGAUUGUUUGAUUAUUUGUUUGUUGUUAGCCGCCCUGAGCCUGGCUUUGGCUGGGGAGGCCGGGAUAUAAAUAAAAUUUAUUAUUAUUAUUAUUAUUA
Molecule: non-coding RNA, 581 nt
Organism: Podarcis lilfordi (Lilford's wall lizard)
Lineage: Eukaryota; Metazoa; Chordata; Lepidosauria; Squamata; Lacertidae
Source: the annotation of a GenBank genome assembly